Molecule: long non-coding RNA, 1461 nt
Filed under: Vitis vinifera (wine grape)
Lineage: Eukaryota; Viridiplantae; Streptophyta; Magnoliopsida; Vitales; Vitaceae
Description: long non-coding RNA (VVIN_LNC003992)
Source: RNAcentral
CGCCCAGUACCGAACCCGGCUCUGCAAGGAUGAAACUGGGUGUAGUAGGAAAGUUUGUUUCUUCGCCCACAGGCCUGAAGAAUUGCGGCCUUUGUAUGCUUCCACAGGCUCAGCCAUGCCUUCACCAAGGUCUCUUUCAGCUUCUGCAGUGGACAUGGCGACACUGAGUCCAUUGACCCUUGGUUCAUCUGCCUUGCUACUGCCGCCUACUUCGUCGUCUUUGCUGUUGCCUCCCACCUCAACACCGCCCAUGUCUCCAUCUGCGGUCUCUUCAUCGCCGAAGAGCUCCGGUAUGUGGCAGAACAAGGUUAACUUCACCCCACCUAGCCUGCAGCUACCGGGUAGCAGGCUGAAGUCUGCUUUGAGUGCUAGAGAUUUGGAGUUGGAGUUGGAGCUGCUGGAGCUGGAAAGUCAGCUUACCCACAAGCAAUUGAUGGAUGAGAUGUCUAGUCUCUCCUCUCCAUCCUGCUGGAAUAAGGAAUUCAGUAGGAUCGGAGAACUGAAGCCUACUAAUCUUGAUGAUAUGUUUGGAUCUUUUGAUCCUUCGGUAUUGUCUCAGUUGCAGGGACUCUCACUGAAAGCCACAACCCCCCAGCUGCAAUCUCCUCAAUUGCAAUCCCCAACUGGGCUUCAGAUGCGGCAGAACAUGAACCAACAGCGGGCGAGCUACCCGACCAAGACCACUGUCACCUCCUCUCCAGUGAGGAAAACCUCCUCAUAUGGGUUUGAUUCAUCAGCUGCAGUAGCAGCAGCAGUGAUGAAUUCAAGGUCUUCUGCUUUCGCAAAGCGCAGCCAGAGCUUCAUCGAUAGGGGAGGUAUGAGCCAUCGCUCACCUGGGUUCACUGCAGCUUCUAAUUCUGCAACCUUGAUGUCAUCCAAUCUUUCUGACUGGAGCUCCCCUGAUGGGAAACUGGAUUGGGGCAUUCAAGGAGAUGAACUCAACAAGCUGAAGAAGUCUGCCUCUUUCGGAUUCCGAACCAACAACACUGCAACAGCAACACAAUCCAUGAUGGCCUCAACUGAUGAACCAGAUGUAUCUUGGGUUAAUUCCCUAGUCAAGGAUGUUCCUGCUGUCUCAUCUGGGCUGUUUGGUUCCCAGCAACGGCCAUACGGCAUUGGGGUUCAUGAGAAGCUCCCUCCAUGGGUGGAGCAAAUGUACAUAGAACAGGAGCAGAUGGUGGCUUAAGCCAACAUAUCUGCUGCAACUAUCCUCCAUUAUCAUCCUGACAAGUUUGAUAUCUUCAGAAUUCUUAUAAGGUAUUCAACAUUUGUAUGUAGCAUUAGAGAAAGGGAAAAGGGUAGAAAAACAAACCGCAGAACAAGAAAGAUUGAUGGCUCUCAGCUCAUGUAGGAAUAGGAUUAUGAUCAAGGGAAAGCCCAGAUGAAGCAAAGAAGCAGAAAGGAUUAUUUUUCUUUUCUUUUCUUGUCUUUUUUAUAAAUAUUUUUUCAAUUUUUCUCCCU